Non-coding RNA from Theobroma cacao (cacao), 364 nucleotides. The record is from RefSeq and is a predicted model, not a curated record. Lineage: Eukaryota; Viridiplantae; Streptophyta; Magnoliopsida; Malvales; Malvaceae.
UUGAGGACUAUUGGGAAGAAAUUUCAUUACAAUCCUCCAAGGUUUCAACAAGGCCCCUCAGCUGCAUUUGGACCACUAGGGAAGUUAGAGUUGAUUAAAGGUUCAAUAAGUAUCGAUUAGGAGGCAAUUGGAACCGAAGUCGAGGUGUCCACGUAGUUUUGUCUUUUUGGUAGGUAUGUUGGCAUUCAGUAGCCGUCCUUUCACCUUGGUCAUUCCGCUGGAAGCCCAGAGUCAUUUUUUUUUGUAAAUACGUACAUGUGAUGUAAAGUACUAAGAUGCAUGACUUAGACCAUAUAUGUAUAUUUUGAUUGGUCAAUCAUCAUGAGUGGCAAUGGUUAAUAUUAAUUUGGGUUAAAAUAAAUGC